RNAcentral lists this ribosomal RNA (492 nucleotides) under uncultured bacterium. RNAcentral's name for it is "partial 16S ribosomal RNA". It matches the Rfam family "Bacterial small subunit ribosomal RNA", at positions 29 to 507 of the family's 1533-position model. The record is from RNAcentral.
AGUGAACGCUGGCGGUAUGCCUAACACAUGCAAGUCGAGCGGAAGCACAGUAAGAGCUUGCUAUUACGGGUGGCGAGUGACGGAUGGGUUAGGCAUACAUCAGAUUCUAAUUUUUCUGGGGGGAGUACGUAGGGCAGCAGACGCUAAUACCGCAUAAUAGAGACGGGUGAGAGCAGGGGAGCUUGGGACCUUGCGUGAGUCAAUGAGCUGAUGUCGGAUUAGCUAGUUGGCGGGGUAAAGGCCCACCAAGGCGACGAUCCGUAGCUGGCCUGAGAGGAUGAUCAGCCACACUGGAACUGAGACACGGUCCAGACGCCUACGGGAGGCAGCAGUGGGGAAUAUUGGGCAAUGGGCGCAAGCCUGAUCCAGCCAUACCGCGUGGGUGAAGAAGACCUUCGGGUUGUAAAGCCCUUUUGUUGGGAAAGAAAAGCAGCAGGUUAAUACCCCGCUGUUCUGACGGUACCCAAAGAAUAAGCACCGGCUAACUUCGUG